Molecule: ribosomal RNA, 68 nt
Filed under: Pannonibacter indicus
Lineage: Bacteria; Pseudomonadati; Pseudomonadota; Alphaproteobacteria; Hyphomicrobiales; Stappiaceae
Description: 16S rRNA. Bacterial SSU
Rfam family: Bacterial small subunit ribosomal RNA
Source: RNAcentral
UUUAACCUGAGAGUUUGAUCCUGGCUCAGAACGAACGCUGGCGGCAGGCUUAACACAUGCAAGUCGAA